CCCCGCCCCCGCCCGCCGCCCCGCCCCGCGCCCGGCCUGCCCGCCCCGCGCCGGCGCCGCAGGAAGGAGCUGCGGGCUGCGGGCUAGCGGACCGCACCAUGCCCCGCAUCGAUGCGGACCUCAAGCUGGACUUCAAGGAUGUCCUCCUGCGGCCCAAGCGCAGCAGCCUCAAGAGCCGAGCUGAGGUGGAUCUGGAGCGGACCUUCACAUUUCGAAACUCCAAGCAGACCUACUCAGGGAUUCCCAUCAUUGUGGCCAACAUGGACACCGUGGGGACAUUUGAGAUGGCAGCAGUGAUGUCACAGCACUCCAUGUUUACAGCGGUUCACAAGCAUUACACCCUGGACGACUGGAAGCAUUUCGCCGCAGAUCACCCAGAAUGCCUGCAGCACGUGGCCGUGAGCUCCGGCAGUGGGAAGAAGGACCUGGAGAAGAUGAGCAGCAUCCUGGAAGCGGUGCCGCAGGUGAAGUUUAUUUGCCUGGACGUGGCCAAUGGCUAUUCGGAGCACUUCGUGGAAUUCGUGAAGCUGGUCCGUGCCAGGUUCCCGGAGCACACCAUUAUGGCAGGGAACGUGGUGACAGGGGAGAUGGUGGAAGAGCUGAUUCUUUCCGGAGCAGAUAUAAUCAAAGUGGGAGUUGGACCAGGUUCCGUGUGCACCACCCGCACCAAGACCGGGGUGGGCUACCCCCAGCUGAGUGCCGUGAUUGAAUGCGCAGACUCUGCCCACGGCCUGAAGGGGCACAUCAUCUCUGAUGGAGGCUGCACGUGUCCAGGAGAUGUCGCCAAAGCCUUUGGAGCCGGAGCAGACUUCGUCAUGCUCGGAGGCAUGUUCUCGGGCCACGCCGAGUGUGCUGGGGAGGUGAUCGAGAGGGACGGGCAGAAGCUCAAGCUCUUCUAUGGGAUGAGCUCCGAAACAGCCAUGAAGAAACACGCAGGAGGGGUGGCCGAGUACAGAGGCUGCUGUUGCCCUUAUUGGGGUUGGCGCUGAUGACAGGGCACACGGAGGGGCAGGACGGAGGUCCUUAGACUCAGGAGAAAGUCCCCUGUGGGAGGCCAACUGUCUUUCCCCAGAAGCCUCAGCGCUGGGAUGGAACCCAAGCCCUCUGUGUCCUACCAUUCCUACCCUCCAUGUCCCACCAUUCCUUCCACACUAACCGCUUAUUGUAAGGACAUGGGAUCCAGGUGCAUUACAUAAGGUUCAAACCAAUCCAGAGAGCGUCGGAGGGCAAGACGGUGGAAGUGCCUUACAGAGGAAACGUAGAA
RNA transcript from Pipistrellus kuhlii (Kuhl's pipistrelle), 1264 nucleotides. It is a transcript of the gene named guanosine monophosphate reductase, with no coding region annotated. The record is from RefSeq and is a predicted model, not a curated record. The transcript has 10 exons. Lineage: Eukaryota; Metazoa; Chordata; Mammalia; Chiroptera; Vespertilionidae.